RNAcentral lists this long non-coding RNA (201 nucleotides) under Lathyrus oleraceus (garden pea). RNAcentral's name for it is "Pisum sativum (pea) long non-coding RNA (PSAT_LNC035795)". The record is from RNAcentral. Lineage: Eukaryota; Viridiplantae; Streptophyta; Magnoliopsida; Fabales; Fabaceae.
UGAACUGGGUUAACAAUUUCCUGUGUUUGUUUUCCUUCUGCAUAUUUUAUAAUCCUGUAUGCCAUAACUAAGCUUGUAUUUCAGUUUGCCUACCAAGAUAAUAACAGACCUGAUACAUAGCCUUCUGGUUGAAUGUCAAUCAGAAUGUCUUGACAUUCAUCAUUGACAACAUAUACUGAAUAAUAGGCAGGUUGGUUUUUA